RNAcentral lists this ribosomal RNA (500 nucleotides) under uncultured bacterium. RNAcentral describes it as "partial 16S ribosomal RNA". It matches the Rfam family "Bacterial small subunit ribosomal RNA", at positions 29 to 523 of the family's 1533-position model. The record is from RNAcentral.
AUUGAACGCUGGCGGCAUGCCUUACACAUGCAAGUCGAACGGCAGCACGGGGGCAACCCUGGUGGCGAGUGGCGAACGGGUGAGUAAUGCAUCGGAACGUGUCCUCUUGUGGGGGAUAACCAGUCGAAAGAUUGGCUAAUACCGAAUGAGAUCGCAAGAUGAAAGCGGGGGACGGCAAGGCCUCGCGCGAGAGGAGCGGCCGAUGCCGGAUUAGCUAUUUGGGGGGGUAAAAGCCUACCAAGGCGACAAUCCGUAGCUGGUCUGAGAGGACGACCAGCCACACUGGGACUGAGACACGGCCCAGACUCCUACGGGAGGCAGCAGUGGGGAAUUUUGGACAAUGGGCGCAAGUCUGAUCCAGCCAUGCCGCGUGUGUGAAGAAGGCCUUCGGGUUGUAAAGCACUUUCGGACGGAACGAAAUCGCGCGGACGAACAUUCCGCGUGGAUGACGGUACCGUAAGAAGAAGCACCGGCUAACUACGUGCCAGCAGCCGCAGUAA